CAAUUUAUUUCUCUUCAACUCCCGAGCACAAAAUUGCCAUCGAUUUCUACAUUCAAUCAAUGUCUUCCUCCUCAAUUUUCCCUCUCCAGCCAACGAUUCUACUCUUGAGGCUUGAAUAAUGACUCUUCAAGACAUUUGUUCCUCCUCAAUCUUCCCUAUCCAGUCUCCAACCAAAUGAUUCCUCUUUUCAGUCGAUGAUUUCCUCCUCGAUUUUCCCUCUCUAGUGCCUGAUUUGGAGCCAGCCAUCUAUUUUCAAGAUUUUGAUCUCGAAUGAUGGAUUGAUUGAUGUAUAUGGACUAUGAAAGGAGAGACGGAUGUACAUCCAACCUUCACCAAGUUUCAUCUAUCUUUGGGUAAGUUUCAAACUUUUAGUUUCCCUGUGAAUUUAAUUAUCUAAAGAAAAUUAGGCUUCCCGCUUACAUGAAUCUGAAUCCGAUUUUAUUGUGUCUGUGAUAAUUAUUGUAGAUGGCAAUGACUUGAUAUGCUUUUGUUGAUAUGUUGUUGGUCUACGCCCUCCUAUGUCGACGGUGGUCUGCUUGCUGCUGCAUGAAUCGUUUGGCUUUAGUAUGAGUGUUUGAUGGAUUAUGAAUGAGUUUCAGUGUUGUAGAGAAUUUAUGGGUUGAAGUUUCUUCAAUUUUUUAGUCUUGCUUUUUAUUUAUUAAUUAAGCGGGUAAACCCCAAAAAAUCCAAUAUCUGACGGGGACGGGGCCGGUAGUAAUAUCAAACCCGUUUAUCCUCUGGGGCUGGGGGCAGAUAAACUCGACGACGUCGACGGGCGGGGAUCAGGGGUCUAUUAUCCUCACCCGUACACGUUUCCAAGCCUACACACGCCAAGUUCUGCAAACAGAAAAAACGCAGUAUAUUGGGUUUUUAACAGCGGAAUUUAUCCGUUGUUAAAUAUUCCGCUGUUAGGUUAUUUAACAACGGUUUAAAACCGCUGUUAACUUAUCGGAAUAUCAGUAGCAGCAGACCAAUUUCCUAAUUUGCUCUCUUUUCCUCUCUGCCAAACUAUUCCUCUUUCUCCUCUCUGUCGGUCAUCAGUCGUCGUUCAUCGGUUGUUGGUGCUCCUCCGUCAAACUCAUGCACUUGGAUUCCCUACUUAAUAAAGUAAGUUAGGUCAAAAUUAGGUUCGAUGUUAGAAAUUGAAGUUUUUUUUAUGUAGGUAAGAAAUUGGGUGUUUAAUUCAAUGUUAUGAGCACUAUAACUUUUAAGGUUUAGUGUUUAGUGUUGCGAUUAGGAAUUCUAAUAGAAAUUUAGGGAUUCAAUUUAGGGGUUAUUAAUUAGGGUUUGGGGUUCUCAGAAUUGCUAAUGAGUGAAAAUGAUGCAUUAUGCAGGAGUUAUUCUAAAAAUAUUGAGCACGCAUCGACUUCUAUUGCAUUGGAAGGAUCUAAUUCGAGGUUGCUAUAUGCUGAAAUUUGGGGCUUUGUUUUCUAUGUUCAGAUUUGGAAAUUCUUUUUCUAAAUUGUUUGUAUUUUGGUGAUUUUUUUUGUUUUAGCUUAUUUGAAAAGGAAGCUUGUCAAAUCCAUCCACCAAACUUCGAGUUUCUUCUACUUAGAGGUUGGUAGUCGAUUAUCUUAAAUCAUGUAUGGAAAUGUGGUAAUGUAGUAUGCUCAGAAAUAGGUUUGCUUUAAAAUCUAAUAAAGUGGUUUACUAAUUAACUUAUGUGUUAGGGUUGUGUAAUUAAUAUCUAAACUAGAAUUUGGUAGCUUGAUAAUGUAAUGUUCUUAGAAAUGAGUUUGCUUACAAAUAUAGUAGUAUGUGGUGUGCUUGAUUAGAAAUGUGAUUGCUUAAACCAGUCUAGUGAACAUAUGAUAAUUCAUAUUAGAUAUGUUUGUAGUUAGGGUGCAUAUUAGUUUGUUAUUUUUUUAGAUUGAAGAGUAUGAGUAUACAAGUAUAAAUGAAUAGGUCAUGUCGAAGUGUUCAAAAAUACCUUCAUACUCAUACUCUUUAAUUAAAUACAAUGAUAUGUCAUGUCUGAAUUUUCUAUAAAAUUAAUUAUCUUGUGUUCAUUUUAAGGUGUUUGGUUCGAGUUCAAGGAACACAUAAAGUCCUUUCCCUCCUAGAGUUCAAGUCGAGGACCUAGUAAUGUGACAAUUUGCAAAACUUAUGCCUUCAGAGUUUCAGAAGCAUACUGGUACUCUCUCUCCUAAAUUGCGGGUGAUGGCUAGUCUUGAAAAGUUUUGGGCAUGUAACGG
RNAcentral lists this long non-coding RNA (2195 nucleotides) under Linum usitatissimum (flax). RNAcentral describes it as "long non-coding RNA (LUSI_LNC004516)". Lineage: Eukaryota; Viridiplantae; Streptophyta; Magnoliopsida; Malpighiales; Linaceae. The record is from RNAcentral.